CCCCUCAAAGAUGAAGAUCUUACCUUGUAUAUUCUUGGUGGCUUAAGUCCUGAGUAUGAUGUGCUGGUGGUUUCUGUUACCUCUAGAGUUGAACCCAUAUCCCUUGUUGACUUACACGGGUUGUUGCUAAGCCAUGAGA
Molecule: small nucleolar RNA, 139 nt
Organism: Lycium barbarum (goji berry)
Lineage: Eukaryota; Viridiplantae; Streptophyta; Magnoliopsida; Solanales; Solanaceae
Product: small nucleolar RNA Z247
Exons: 1
Source: RefSeq, a predicted model, not a curated record